RNAcentral lists this ribosomal RNA (492 nucleotides) under uncultured bacterium. RNAcentral describes it as "partial 16S ribosomal RNA". It matches the Rfam family "Bacterial small subunit ribosomal RNA", at positions 29 to 507 of the family's 1533-position model. The record is from RNAcentral.
AGUGAACGCUGGCGGUAGGCCUAACACAUGCAAGUCGAACGGCAGCACAGUAAGAGCUUGCUCUUACGGGUGGCGAGUGGCGGACGGGUGAGGAAUACAUCGGAAUCUACUUUUUCGUGGGGGAUAACGUAGGGAAACUUACGCUAAUACCGCAUACGACCUACGGGUGAAAGUAGGGGAUCUUCGGACCUUGCGCGAUUGAAUGAGCCGAUGUCGGAUUAGCUAGUUGGCGGGGUAAAGGCCCACCAAGGCGACGAUCCGUAGCUGGUCUGAGAGGAUGAUCAGCCACACUGGAACUGAGACACGGUCCAGACUCCUACGGGAGGCAGCAGUGGGGAAUAUUGGACAAUGGGCGCAAGCCUGAUCCAGCCAUACCGCGUGGGUGAAGAAGGCCUUCGGGUUGGAAAGCCCUUUUGUUGGGAAAGAAAAGCAGCAGGUUAAUACCCCGCUGUUCUGACGGUACCCAAAGAAUAAGCACCGGCUAACUUCGUG